Molecule: small nuclear RNA, 107 nt
Organism: Suncus etruscus (white-toothed pygmy shrew)
Lineage: Eukaryota; Metazoa; Chordata; Mammalia; Eulipotyphla; Soricidae
Source: RefSeq, a predicted model, not a curated record
GUGCUUGCUUUAGUAGCACAUAUACUAAAAUUGGAAUAAUACAGAGAAGAGUCACAUGGCCCCUGUGCAAGGAUGACAUGCAAAUUCGUGAAGCAUUUUAUACUUUC